AUUGAACGCUGGCGGCAUGCCUUACACAUGCAAGUCGAACGGUAACAGGUCUUCGGAUGCUGACGAGUGGCGAACGGGUGAGUAAUACAUCGGAACGUGCCCGAUCGUGGGGGAUAACGGAGCGAAAGCUUUGCUAAUACCGCAUACGAUCUACGGAUGAAAGCAGGGGACCGCAAGGCCUUGCGCGGACGGAGCGGCCGAUGGCAGAUUAGGUAGUUGGUGGGAUAAAAGCUUACCAAGCCGACGAUCUGUAGCUGGUCUGAGAGGACGACCAGCCACACUGGGACUGAGACACGGCCCAGACUCCUACGGGAGGCAGCAGUGGGGAAUUUUGGACAAUGGGCGCAAGCCUGAUCCAGCCAUGCCGCGUGCAGGAUGAAGGCCUUCGGGUUGUAAACUGCUUUUGUACGGAACGAAAAGACUCUUUCUAAUAAAGAGGGUCCAUGACGGUACCGUAAGAAUAAGCACCGGCUAACUACGUGCCAGCAGCCGCGGU
This 496-nucleotide ribosomal RNA is filed under the name uncultured bacterium. Its description in RNAcentral is "bacterial SSU rRNA". It matches the Rfam family "Bacterial small subunit ribosomal RNA", at positions 30 to 521 of the family's 1533-position model. The record is from RNAcentral.